This 254-nucleotide ribosomal RNA is filed under the name uncultured bacterium. RNAcentral's name for it is "partial 16S ribosomal RNA". It matches the Rfam family "Bacterial small subunit ribosomal RNA", at positions 524 to 776 of the family's 1533-position model. The record is from RNAcentral.
UACGAAGGGGGCUAGCGUUGCUCGGAAUCACUGGGCGUAAAGGGUGCGUAGGCGGGUCUUUUAAGUCAGGGGUGAAAUCCCAGAGCUCAACUCUGGAACUGCCUUUGAUACUGGGUAUCUUGAGUAUGGAAGAGGUAAGUGGAAUUGCGAGUGUAGAGGUGAAAUUCGUAGAUAUCGGGAGGAACACCAGUGGCGAAGGCGGCGAUCUGGGCAGAUACUGACGCUGAGGCGCGAAAGCGUGGGGAGCAAACGGG